This is a long non-coding RNA of Neofelis nebulosa (Clouded leopard), 312 nucleotides long. RefSeq lists it as uncharacterized. The transcript is spliced from 2 exons. The record is from RefSeq and is a predicted model, not a curated record. NCBI's taxonomy places the organism in Eukaryota, Metazoa, Chordata, Mammalia, Carnivora, Felidae.
GAAAAAUCUCGAAAGAUUUGUCUCUCACCUUGUAAACAAGUGACAUUAAACUAAUUAGGUCGAUUUGGUAUGUUCAAAUACUGGGAAGCAUUGUCAGGCAGGUUUUACUCUGAUGCUUUCACAAAGAUGCUUCAUCUUCAGAGAGUCAUGAGAGGACUUUGGCAGGUACUCUAGAGUACAGGUUUCUCAUAAGAUCAUGAAACAACUUGGUAAGAAUUUCCAGAACUAAUGGAAAUACUGGACUCAAGUAGAACAAGAAUAGUAUGGAAUUGAAUGAGCUGAUGAAGAUGAUUACAUUUUUUCUUAGAAACA